GUAGCAGUUCCUCCUUAAGGUCAGAGAUUGCAACAUCUGAGGGCCUCUUCAAAAGAAGACGUAGUUGAUGAAGGCGUUCUGGAGCAGGACCAGAAAGACCACGACCAAGCAGCCUUGGAAUCUUAGGCAGCAUCUCCCUCAGCCCAAAGAACUACAGACUCUUCACAACCUGCUCAAACUCUUGGUACAGGACCUCAGCACACGGGUCAAGAAGGUUUCCAUCUCAUUUCUACUCUGAAGCACACCUUCUCCUGCUCAAACUGCUGACAAAUGUUUCUGCUGCUCUAAAGUCUGCUCUCCAGAACUUCCUAAAAACUCUCAAAGUCUCUUCUGCUGCAGGCUGCUUUGUAGAACUGUUCCAGAAAACC
Amphiprion ocellaris (clown anemonefish) is the source of this 368-nucleotide long non-coding RNA. Lineage: Eukaryota; Metazoa; Chordata; Actinopteri; Pomacentridae. The record is from Ensembl.